UGAGGAAUAUUGGUCAAUGGGCGCAAGCCUGAACCAGCCAUGCCGCGUGCAGGAUGAAGCAUCUAUGGUGUGUAAACUGCUUUUGUACGGGAAGAAACACUGCUUCGUGAAGCAGCUUGACGGUACCGUAAGAAUAAGGAUCGGCUAACUCCGUGCCAGCAGCCGCGGUAAUACGGAGGAUCCAAGCGUUAUCCGGAAUCAUUGGGUUUAAAGGGUCCGUAGGCGGCCAGGUAAGUCAGUGGUGAAAGCCCAUCGCUCAACGGUGGAACGGCCAUUGAUACUGCCAGGCUUGAAUUUCCGGGAAGUAACUAGAAUAUGUAGUGUAGCGGUGAAAUGCUUAGAUAUUACAUGGAAUACCGAUUGCGAAGGCAGGUUACUACCGGUGGAUUGACGCUGAGGGACGAAAGCGUGGGUAGCGAACAG
This 423-nucleotide ribosomal RNA is filed under the name uncultured bacterium. RNAcentral describes it as "bacterial SSU rRNA". It matches the Rfam family "Bacterial small subunit ribosomal RNA", at positions 355 to 775 of the family's 1533-position model. The record is from RNAcentral.